This 497-nucleotide ribosomal RNA is filed under the name uncultured bacterium. Its description in RNAcentral is "partial 16S ribosomal RNA". It matches the Rfam family "Bacterial small subunit ribosomal RNA", at positions 28 to 507 of the family's 1533-position model. The record is from RNAcentral.
GAUGAACGCUGGCGGCGUGCCUAACACAUGCAAGUCGAGCGAACAGACGAGGAGCUUGCUCCUCUGACGUUAGCGGCGGACGGGUGAGUAACACGUGGAUAACCUACCUAUAAGACUGGGAUAACUUCGGGAAACCGGAGCUAAUACCGGAUAAUAUAUUGAACCGCAUGGUUCAAUAGUGAAAGACGGUUUUGCUGUCACUUAUAGAUGGAUCCGCGCCGCAUUAGCUAGUUGGUAAGGUAACGGCUUACCAAGGCAACGAUGCGUAGCCGACCUGAGAGGGUGAUCGGCCACACUGGAACUGAGACACGGUCCAGACUCCUACGGGAGGCAGCAGUAGGGAAUCUUCCGCAAUGGGCGAAAGCCUGACGGAGCAACGCCGCGUGAGUGAUGAAGGUCUUCGGAUCGUAAAGCUCUGUUAGUAGGGAAGAACAAAUGUGUAAGUAACUAUGCACGUAUUGACGGUACCUAAUCAGAAAGCCACGGCUAACUACGUG